CCUACGGGAGGCUGCAGUAGGGAAUAUUGCUCAAUGGGGGAUACCCUGAAGCAGCAACGCCGCGUGGAGGAUGAAGGUUUUAGGAGUGUAAACUCCUUUUGUGAGAGAAGAUAAUGACGGUAUCUCACGAAUAAGCACCGUCUAACUCCGUGCCAGCAGCGGCGGUAAUACGGAGGGUGCAAGCGUUACUCGGAAUCACCGGGGGUAAAGGGUGCGCAGGCGGGCUUGUAAGUCAGAUGUGAAAGCCUGUAGCUUAACGAUAGAACUGCAUUUGAAACUAUGAGCUUAGAGUGUGGGAGAGGUAGGUGGAAUUCUUGGUGUAGCGGUAAAAUCCGUAGAUAUCA
This 344-nucleotide ribosomal RNA is filed under the name uncultured bacterium. RNAcentral describes it as "partial 16S ribosomal RNA". It matches the Rfam family "Bacterial small subunit ribosomal RNA", at positions 338 to 699 of the family's 1533-position model. The record is from RNAcentral.